CAGUCGCCGCGGGAAUACGAAGGGGGCUAGCGUUGCUCGGAAUGACUGGGCGUAAAGGGCGCGUAGGCGGCGAUCAAAGUCAGGCGUGAAAUUCCUGGGCUCAACCUGGGGGCUGCGUUUGAUACUUGAUUGCUAGAGUGGGGCAGAGGGAAUUUCCGGUGGAGCGAUGAAAUGCGUUGAGAUCGGAAAGAACACCAACAGCGAAAGCACUCUGUUGGGCCGACACUGACACUGGGAGACGAAAGUUAGGGGAGCAAAUGGGAUUAGAUACCCGAGUAGUCCAUGUCUCUUAUACACAUCU
This 301-nucleotide ribosomal RNA is filed under the name uncultured bacterium. RNAcentral's name for it is "partial 16S ribosomal RNA". It matches the Rfam family "Bacterial small subunit ribosomal RNA", at positions 509 to 814 of the family's 1533-position model. The record is from RNAcentral.